GUGCGUGUGUGUAAAGAAGGAGAUUAGGACAUUUAGAGAAGGAGGGCGGGGAGGAGAGAUCCUGAGAAUAGAAAGGAGGAAAGAAAAAAAGAGGAAUGGAAAGAGACAGAGAAAGGAAAUGGGAGUGGAAGGAGGGAGGACUGCUUUGUAACUGCUAAGAUUGCAGACAGAAAUAGCACACAACCACUGUGAGCUGUAUGCGAUUCAGAAACCAAGACCAAAUUUUGCUCACUUUCAUUAAUCAGUUGCUCAGAUAGAAGGAAAUGACAUCUGGUUCUGUCUUCUUCUACAUCUUAAUUUUUGGAAAAUAUUGAGACAACAAUGGAUGGUCUCUGCAAUUUGACAAAUAUUUUGCCAGUUACUACAAAAUGACUUCCCAAUAUCCUUUUGAGGCAGAAACACCUGAAUGUUCUUUUCAUUUCUUUCUUUUCAUUACCCUCCUCUUCCUGGUCCCUCACUGUCAUCAUGCCUUACCACUUCCCCUUGAUUCAGUGGUCGGUUCUGUGCCAGUGCAAUGUCUUUGCCAAGGUCUGGAGCUUGACUGUGAUGAAACCAAUUUACGAGCUGUUCCAUCGGUUUCUUCAAAUGUGACUGCAAUGUCACUUCAGUGGAACUUAAUAAGAAAGCUUCCUCCUGAUUGCUUCAAGAAUUAUCAUGAUCUUCAGAAGCUGUACCUGCAAAACAAUAAGAUUACAUCCAUCUCCAUCUAUGCUUUCAGAGGACUGAAUAGCCUUACUAAACUGUAUCUCAGUCAUAACAGAAUAACCUUCCUGAAGCCGGGUGUUUUUGAAGAUCUUCACAGACUAGAAUGGCUGAUAAUUGAAGAUAAUCACCUCAGUCGAAUUUCCCCACCAACAUUUUAUGGACUAAAUUCUCUUAUUCUCUUAGUCCUGAUGAAUAACGUCCUCACCCGUUUACCUGAUAAACCUCUCUGUCAACACAUGCCAAGACUACAUUGGCUGGACCUUGAAGGCAACCAUAUCCAUAAUUUAAGAAAUUUGACUUUUAUUUCCUGCAGUAAUUUAACUGUUUUAGUGAUGAGGAAAAACAAAAUUAAUCACUUAAAUGAAAAUACUUUUGCACCUCUCCAGAAACUGGAUGAAUUGGAUUUAGGAAGUAAUAAGAUUGAAAAUCUUCCACCGCUUAUAUUCAAGGACCUGAAGGAGCUGUCACAAUUGAAUCUUUCCUAUAAUCCAAUCCAGAAAAUUCAAGCAAACCAAUUUGAUUAUCUUGUCAAACUCAAGUCUCUCCUAGAAGGGAUUGAAAUUUCAAAUAUCCAACAAAGGAUGUUUAGACCUCUUAUGAAUCUCUCUCACAUAUAUUUUAAGAAAUUCCAGUACUGUGGGUAUGCACCACAUGUUCGCAGCUGUAAACCAAACACUGAUGGAAUUUCAUCUCUAGAGAAUCUCUUGGCAAGCAUUAUUCAGAGAGUAUUUGUCUGGGUUGUAUCUGCAGUUACCUGCUUUGGAAACAUUUUUGUCAUUUGCAUGCGACCUUAUAUCAGGUCUGAGAACAAGCUGUAUGCCAUGUCAAUCAUUUCUCUCUGCUGUGCCGACUGCUUAAUGGGAAUAUAUUUAUUCGUGAUCGGAGGCUUUGACCUAAAGUUUCGUGGAGAAUACAAUAAGCAUGCGCAGCUGUGGAUGGAGAGUACUCAUUGUCAGCUUGUAGGAUCUUUGGCCAUUCUGUCCACAGAAGUAUCAGUUUUACUGUUAACAUUUCUGACAUUGGAAAAAUACAUCUGCAUUGUCUAUCCUUUUAGAUGUGUGAGACCUGGAAAAUGCAGAACAAUUACAGUUCUGAUUCUCAUUUGGAUUACUGGUUUUAUAGUGGCUUUCAUUCCAUUGAGCAAUAAGGAAUUUUUCAAAAACUACUAUGGCACCAAUGGAGUAUGCUUCCCUCUUCAUUCAGAAGAUACAGAAAGUAUUGGAGCCCAGAUUUAUUCAGUGGCAAUUUUUCUUGGUAUUAAUUUGGCCGCAUUUAUCAUCAUAGUUUUUUCCUAUGGAAGCAUGUUUUAUAGUGUUCAUCAAAGUGCCAUAACAGCAACUGAAAUACGGAAUCAAGUUAAAAAAGAGAUGAUCCUUGCCAAACGUUUUUUCUUUAUAGUAUUUACUGAUGCAUUAUGCUGGAUACCCAUUUUUGUAGUGAAAUUUCUUUCACUGCUUCAGGUAGAAAUACCAGGUACCAUAACCUCUUGGGUAGUGAUUUUUAUUCUGCCCAUUAACAGUGCUUUGAACCCAAUUCUCUAUACUCUGACCACAAGACCAUUUAAAGAAAUGAUUCAUCGGUUUUGGUAUAACUACAGACAAAGAAAAUCUAUGGACAGCAAAGGUCAGAAAACAUAUGCUCCAUCAUUCAUCUGGGUGGAAAUGUGGCCACUGCAGGAGAUGCCACCUGAGUUAAUGAAGCCGGACCUUUUCACAUACCCCUGUGAAAUGUCACUGAUUUCUCAAUCAACGAGACUCAAUUCCUAUUCAUGACUGACUCUGAAAUUCAUUUCUUCGCAGAGAAUACUGUGGGGGUGCUUCAUGAGGGAUUUACUGGUAUGAAAUGAAUACCACAAAAUUAAUUUAUAAUAAUAGCUAAGAUAAAUAUUUUACAAGGACAUGAGGAAAAAUAAAAAUGACUAAUGCUCUUACAAAGGGAAGUAAUUAUAUCAAUAAUGUAUAUAUAUUAGUAGACAUUUUGCAUAAGAAAUUAAGAGAAAUCUACUUCAGUAACAUUCAUUCAUUUUUCUAACAUGCAUUUAUUGAGUACCCACUACUAUGUGCAUAGCAUUGCAAUAUAGUCCUGGAAGUAGACAGUGCAGAACCUUUCAAUCUGUAGAUGGUGUUUAAUGACAAAAGACUAUACAAAGUCCAUCUGCAGUUCCUAGUUUAAAGUAGAGCUUUACCUGUCAUGUGCAUCAGCAAGAAUCAUAGGCACUUUUAAAUAAAGGUUUAAAGUUUUGGAAUACUCAGUGUAUUUGCAUCAUAGAAAAUGUCUGACUGUUUGCAAAAUAAUAUUCUGUUUUAAGAAUCCAUCUUACCUCUCUUUAAGUUUCCAUACACUUGAGAGCCAACACAACAUAUUUAUUACUAAAAAGAUGCUUUGCUAGAAACUCAAAAACAGCACUUCUUUUGGCACUUCCUGCCCAGUUUUCUCUUUGCUUUAAAUGAACAUCAUCAUAUGGAAUUGGAAUAGGAGAGUAUGAGUACGGCAGAGAAGUGGAUCAGAAAAACUAGAAUGAGGAUAAACAUUUACAUUAGUGGAAACUCCUGAAAUAAAUCCUUGUAUUGUCAGUUAACUGAUUUUCAACAAGGAUGCCAAGACAAAAAGGCUUUUCAACAAACCGUGCUGUUUUAAGAACAGACCUAAGUGGUUUAAUUCACCCACUUUAGAUGGGUGAAUGUUAUGGUGUGUGAAAUAUCUCAGUAAAGCAGUUAAAAGGAAAAAGAGCUGGAAUGCACUGAUUCAGGAACUUAAUUUCAGGAAGGAAAGGUCUGUAUGUACACAUUUCACUUUAAGCAGAAAAUCUUUCUUCAAGAAAUGACUUUACUUUCUCUUUGCACUGCCAGCACGUGAGAUACUAACUUUUUAACUAGUUGUUCUUCUCUAGUCUCUACGUUAUUAGAAUUUUUUGCUUUCAUAAUGUGAAACCUUUAAGCAGGAGAAGAAAAUGUUUUCAGAUAGUUUCAAAUACACCAAAAAUGUUUGAAACACAAAAAUACUGGAAUCAAACCAUAAUGCACUUAUUGAAUAUAUAGUUGUAUAGAUUUGUUCUGAAAAUAAAUUAUCUGAAAUUUAACUAUUAA
RNAcentral lists this long non-coding RNA (3791 nucleotides) under Homo sapiens (human). RNAcentral's name for it is "long non-coding RNA NONHSAT099001.2". Lineage: Eukaryota; Metazoa; Chordata; Mammalia; Primates; Hominidae. The record is from RNAcentral.